RNAcentral lists this ribosomal RNA (468 nucleotides) under uncultured bacterium. RNAcentral's name for it is "partial 16S ribosomal RNA". It matches the Rfam family "Bacterial small subunit ribosomal RNA", at positions 28 to 507 of the family's 1533-position model. The record is from RNAcentral.
GACGAACGCUGGCGGCGUGCUUAACACAUGCAAGUCGAACGGAAAGGCCCUGCUUUUGUGGGGUGUUCGAGUGGCGAACGGGUGAGUAACACGUGAGUAACCUGCCCUUGACUUUGGGAUAACUUCAGGAAACUGGGGCUAAUACCGGAUAGGAGCUCCUGCUGCAUGGUGGGGGUUGGAAAGUUUCGGCGGUUGGGGAUGGACUCGCGGCUUAUCAGCUUGCUGGUGGGGUAGUGGCUUACCAAGGCUUUGACGGGUAGCCGGCCUGAGAGGGUGACCGGCCACAUUGGGACUGAGGUACGGCCCAGACUCCUACGGGAGGCAGCAGUGGGGAAUAUUGCACAAUGGGCGGAAGCCUGAUGCAGCAACGCCGCGUGCGGGAGGACGGCCUUCGGGUUGGAAACCGCUUUCGCCUGUGACGAAGCGUGAGUGACGGUAAUGGAUAAAGAAGCACCGGCUAACUACGUG